AAAAUACUAAUUAGAUUGCUAUUUAUUAUUUGUGUUUCAUUUAAGUUUCGGUAUACCAAGAUGGCCGGAGGAACAAUUUUCCUGUGUGGUUGUGAAUAUUAAGUUUUUCUCCUUGAUCGGGCAGUUGGAAGUAAAUUAAAAUAGCCGUGAUUGAAGUAAUUCAGUCCUGCGGUAGUGACCAAAACGUAUUAGAAACGCCGGAAACAUUUUUCGCCGUCCGGAAUGGCGAUUUAUUGACCGACCCUAAAAGUAAGAUUCCUCCAGGAGGACGAUGAGAUUAAAAGCGAUGAAAAGGCCGACGUAUGGAUAGUUUCCACCCAGCAUCCGGCAAAAUUCCCAUGAGGCAGGGGAUCUUAAAAUGGACACCAAACAAGAUGAACCAUACGCUAGAACAAAGGAGUCCGGGAACACGAUGGGAAGAUGAGUAUGAGAGUGUACAUUUCAAAUUAGUAUUAUCCAAAGUGAAUAACAUGUUAUUUUAAUGACGAACAUGAUGAUAAAAUAAAUAAAUGGGAUAUAGUUUGUUUUAUUCUA
RNAcentral lists this long non-coding RNA (534 nucleotides) under Aedes aegypti (yellow fever mosquito). RNAcentral describes it as "lncRNA AAEL021385". Lineage: Eukaryota; Metazoa; Arthropoda; Insecta; Diptera; Culicidae. The record is from RNAcentral.